RNAcentral lists this ribosomal RNA (484 nucleotides) under uncultured bacterium. Its description in RNAcentral is "partial 16S ribosomal RNA". It matches the Rfam family "Bacterial small subunit ribosomal RNA", at positions 30 to 507 of the family's 1533-position model. The record is from RNAcentral.
AUUGAACGCUGGCGGCAGGCCUAACACAUGCCAGUCGAGCGGAUGAAGGGAGCUUGCUCCUGGAUUCAGCGGCGGACGGGUGAGUAAUGCCUAGGAAUCUGCCUGGUAGUGGGGGAUAACGUCCGUAAACGGGCGCUAAUACCGCAUACGUCCUGAGGGAGAAAGUGGGGGAUCUUCGGACCUCACGCUAUCAGAUGAGCCUAGGUCGGAUUAGCUAGUUGGUGGGGUAAAGGCCUACCAAGGCGACGAUCCGUAACUGGUCUGAGAGGAUGAUCAGUCACACUGGAACUGAGACACGGUCCAGACUCCUACGGGAGGCAGCGGUGGGGAAUAUUGGACAAUGGGCGAAAGCCUGAUCCAGCCAUGCCGCGUGUGUGAAGAAGGUCUUCGGAUUGUAAAGCACUUUAAGUUGGGAGGAAGGGCAGUAAGUUAAUACCUUGCUGUUUUGACGUUACCAACAGAAUAAGCACCGGCUAACUUCGUG